This 377-nucleotide ribosomal RNA is filed under the name uncultured bacterium. Its description in RNAcentral is "bacterial SSU rRNA". It matches the Rfam family "Bacterial small subunit ribosomal RNA", at positions 521 to 898 of the family's 1533-position model. The record is from RNAcentral.
UAAUACGUAGGGUGCAAGCGUUAAUCGGAAUUACUGGGCGUAAAGCGUGCGCAGGCGGUUUUGUAAGUCUGAUGUGAAAUCCCCGGGCUCAACCUGGGAAUUGCAUUGGAGACUGCAAGGCUAGAAUCUGGCAGAGGGGGGUAGAAUUCCACGUGUAGCAGUGAAAUGCGUAGAUAUGUGGAGGAACACCGAUGGCGAAGGCAGCCCCCUGGGUCAAGAUUGACGCUCAUGCACGAAAGCGUGGGGAGCAAACAGGAUUAGAUACCCUGGUAGUCCACGCCCUAAACGAUGUCUACUAGUUGUCGGGUCUUAAUUGACUUGGUAACGCAGCUAACGCGUGAAGUAGACCGCCUGGGGAGUACGGUCGCAAGAUUAAA